UGUCACUCUGGAUGUCAAGUUUCACUAAAGCAGAUGCAUACUAAGUGUAAAAGAUAAAGAAAAGCUCUCGCUUGGUUACCAUUCAUAGAAUCUAUUUUGUAAAAACUCACAAAUCAUAAAUUCAUCAUCUGUUUUGCAGACAAUGGGGCAUUAUGAUCAUCCUAAAAAACUCACAAACAAGUAAACAUCUUUAAUUGGUCG
RNAcentral lists this long non-coding RNA (201 nucleotides) under Elaeis guineensis (African oil palm). RNAcentral describes it as "long non-coding RNA (EGUI_LNC004236)". Lineage: Eukaryota; Viridiplantae; Streptophyta; Magnoliopsida; Arecales; Arecaceae. The record is from RNAcentral.